GACGAACGCUGGCGGCGUGCUUAACACAUGCAAGUCGAACGGAAAGGCCCUGCUUUUGUGGGGUGCUCGAGUGGCGAACGGGUGAGUAACACGUGAGUAACCUGCCCUUGACUUUGGGAUAACUUCAGGAAACUGGGGCUAAUACCGGAUAGGAGCUCCUGCUGCAUGGUGGGGGUUGGAAAGUUUCGGCGGUUGGGGAUGGACUCGCGGCUUAUCAGCUUGUUGGUGGGGUAGUGGCUUACCAAGGCUUUGACGGGUAGCCGGCCUGGGAGGGUGACCGGCCACAUUGGGACUGAGAGACGGACCAGACUCCUACGGGAGGCAGCAGUGGGGAAUAUUGCAGAAUGGGCGGAAGCCUGAUGCAGCAACGCCGCGUGCGGGAUGACGGCCUUCGGGUUGUAAACCGCUUUCGCCUGUGACGAAGCGUGAGUGACGGUAAUGGGUAAAGAAGCACCGGCUAACUACGUG
RNAcentral lists this ribosomal RNA (468 nucleotides) under uncultured bacterium. Its description in RNAcentral is "partial 16S ribosomal RNA". It matches the Rfam family "Bacterial small subunit ribosomal RNA", at positions 28 to 507 of the family's 1533-position model. The record is from RNAcentral.